RNAcentral lists this transfer RNA (17 nucleotides) under Liriomyza strigata. Its description in RNAcentral is "partial tRNA-Lys". The record is from RNAcentral. Lineage: Eukaryota; Metazoa; Arthropoda; Insecta; Diptera; Agromyzidae.
CAUUAGGGGACUGAAAA